This 397-nucleotide ribosomal RNA is filed under the name uncultured bacterium. RNAcentral describes it as "partial 16S ribosomal RNA". It matches the Rfam family "Bacterial small subunit ribosomal RNA", at positions 523 to 918 of the family's 1533-position model. The record is from RNAcentral.
AUACGUAGGGGGCGAGCGUUGUCCGGAAUGAUUGGGCGUAAAGGGCGCGUAGGCGGCGCGGUAAGUCUGGAGUGAAAGUCCUGCUUUCAAGGUGGGAAUUGCUUUGGAUACUGCCGCGCUUGAGUGCAGGAGAGGUUAUCGGAAUUCCCGGUGUAGCGGUGAAAUGCGUAGAGAUCGGGAGGAACACCAGUGGCGAAGGCGGGUAACUGGACUGCAACUGACGCUGAGGCGCGAAAGUGUGGGGAGCAAACAGGAUUAGAUACCCUGGUAGUCCACGCUGUAAACGAUGAAUGCUAGGUGUAGGGGGUAUCGACCCCUCCUGUGCCGGAGUAAACGCAAUAAGCAUUCCGCCUGGGGAGUACGGCCGCAAGGUUGAAACUCAAAUGAAUUGACGGGG